GACAAGCCUGGAAAAGGGAAGGGGGAGAUGGUCGGAUAUGGGCUGAAUCCUCAGGUCCCCCUCGUGCUGCUGAGUCUGCACUGGCCUGGAGAAUUGCUCAGCUCUGAGGUGUUUUCUCUCCUUUGCCCUGAACAGCUGGUUUUGUGGCUGCACACAGUGAAGGCUGAAGCUGCAGAGGGAGCACACACGGAGCAUCACUGACAGCACACCCUGAGCAUCCCGGCGGCACGGCACUGAGCAUCGCCAGUGGCACAGUGGGCUCUGCAACCUGGCACAGGUGACACCAGCUUCCCAGCAGCGAGAGGAGAUUCAAGGUUUACAAACACUCAACUUUCUCAUCCUGCUCUCCAGGUGAAGAACAGAAAGUCAGUCUCCAUGUCCUGCACACAAGCUGGUGUUUUUGGGGAAAUGCCGGUGGGACGGGGGCUUGAGGUCCAUGGGCUGGUGCUGCGGUUCUGGCCCCUGAGCUGGGCAGUGACCAAUCAGGGCUGCUUGGGAGCCAAAAGGGGGGACAAUGGGAGAACUGGGGGUUUUCGGGGACCGAGGGCCCCAGGCACAUCCUGCUCUGGUUUUGCUGUAAGUGGGAACCCUCCGCUUUGGGGAGCUGAGCUCCGAGCCUCAGGGUACAAGGAAAGGACCAGCAUUAAACUGUGCUCCUACCUGGAGGUGAAAA
This is a long non-coding RNA of Columba livia (rock pigeon), 673 nucleotides long. RefSeq lists it as uncharacterized. Lineage: Eukaryota; Metazoa; Chordata; Aves; Columbiformes; Columbidae. The transcript has 2 exons. The record is from RefSeq and is a predicted model, not a curated record.